This 492-nucleotide ribosomal RNA is filed under the name uncultured bacterium. Its description in RNAcentral is "partial 16S ribosomal RNA". It matches the Rfam family "Bacterial small subunit ribosomal RNA", at positions 29 to 507 of the family's 1533-position model. The record is from RNAcentral.
AGUGAACGCUGGCGGCAGGCCUAACACAUGCCAGUCGAGCGGCAGAACGGUGCGUGCUUGUUCUUACGGCUGGCGAGGGGCGGGCGAGGGCUAGGAACAUGCGAGUCUACUUUGUCUAGCGGGAUAACGCGGGGGCUAAUACGCUAAUCGCGCAUACGACCUACGGGUGGAAUCAUGGGAUCUUACGACCUUGCAUGAUCGUAUGACGCGAUGUCGGAUUAGCUAGUUGGCGGGGUAAAGGCCCACCAAGGCGACGAUCCGUAGCUGGUCUGAGAGGAUGAUCAGCCACACUGGAACUGAGACACGGUCCAGACUCCUACGGGAGGCAGCAGUGGGGAAUAUUGGACAAUGGGCGCAAGCCUGAUCCAGCCAUACCGCGUGGGUGAAGAAGGUCUUCGGAUUGUAAAGCCCUUUUGGUUGGGAAGAAAAGCAGUAAGUUAAUACCUCGCUGUUCUGACGGUACCAAAAGAAUAAGCACCGGCUAACUUCGUG